This 497-nucleotide ribosomal RNA is filed under the name uncultured bacterium. RNAcentral describes it as "partial 16S ribosomal RNA". It matches the Rfam family "Bacterial small subunit ribosomal RNA", at positions 28 to 507 of the family's 1533-position model. The record is from RNAcentral.
GAUGAACGCUGGCGGCGUGCCUAAUACAUGCAAGUCGAGCGAACAGACGAGGAGCUUGCUCCUCUGACGUUAGCGGCGGACGGGUGAGUAACACGUGGAUAACCUACCUAUAAGACUGGGAUAACUUCGGGAAACCGGAGCUAAUACCGGAUAAUAUAUUGAACCGCAUGGUUCAAUAGUGAAAGACGGUGUUGCUGUCACUUAUAGAUGGAUCCGCGCCGCAUUAGCUAGUUGGUAAGGUAACGGCUUACCAAGGCGACGAUGCGUAGCCGACCUGAGAGGGUGGUAGCCCACCCUGGAACUGAGCCACGGUCCAGACUCCUGCGGGACGCAGCAGUAGGGAAUCGUCCGCAAUGGGCGAGAGCCUGACGGAGCAACGCGGCGUGAGUGAUGAAGGUCUUCGGAGCGUAAUACUCUGUUAUUAGGGAAGAACAAAUGUGUAAGUAACUAUGCACGUCUUGACGGUACCUAAUCAGAAAGCCACGGCUAACUACGUG